This 1346-nucleotide ribosomal RNA is filed under the name uncultured bacterium. RNAcentral's name for it is "bacterial SSU rRNA". It matches the Rfam family "Bacterial small subunit ribosomal RNA", at positions 28 to 1381 of the family's 1533-position model. The record is from RNAcentral.
GACGAACGCUGGCGGCGUGCUUAACACAUGCAAGUCGAACGGAAAGGCCCUGCUUUUGUGGGGUGCUCGAGUGGCGAACGGGUGAGUAACACGUGAGUAACCUGCCCUUGACUUUGGGAUAACUUCAGGAAACUGGGGCUAAUACCGGAUAGGAGCUCCUGCUGCAUGGUGGGGGUUGGAAAGUUUCGGCGGUUGGGGAUGGACUCGCGGCUUAUCAGCUUGUUGGUGGGGUAGUGGCUUACCAAGGCUUUGACGGGUAGCCGGCCUGAGAGGGUGACCGGCCACAUUGGGACUGAGAUACGGCCCAGACUCCUACGGGAGGCAGCAGUGGGGAAUAUUGCACAAUGGGCGGAAGCCUGAUGCAGCAACGCCGCGUGCGGGAUGACGGCCUUCGGGUUGUAAACCGCUUUCGCCUGUGACGAAGCGUGAGUGACGGUAAUGGGUAAAGAAGCACCGGCUAACUACGUGCCAGCAGCCGCGGUGAUACGUAGGGUGCGAGCGUUGUCCGGAUUUAUUGGGCGUAAAGGGCUCGUAGGUGGUUGAUCGCGUCGGAAGUGUAAUCUUGGGGCUUAACCCUGAGCGUGCUUUCGAUACGGGUUGACUUGAGGAAGGUAGGGGAGAAUGGAAUUCCUGGUGGAGCGGUGGAAUGCGCAGAUAUCAGGAGGAACACCAGUGGCGAAGGCGGCUCUCUGGGCCUUUCCUGACGCUGAGGAGCGAAAGCGUGGGGAGCGAACAGGCUUAGAUACCCUGGUAGUCCACGCUGUAAACGGUGGGUACUAGGUGUGGGGUCCAUUCCACGGGUUCCGUGCCGUAGCUAACGCUUUAAGUACCCCGCCUGGGGAGUACGGCCGCAAGGCUAAAAUUCAAAGGAAUUGACGGGGCCCCGCACAAGCGGCGGAGCAUGCGGAUUAAUUCGAUGCAACGCGUAGAACCUUACCUGGGUUUGACAUGGAUCGGGAGCGCUCAGAGAUGGGUGUGCCUCUUUUGGGGUCGGUUCACAGGUGGUGCAUGGCUGUCGUCAGCUCGUGUCGUGAGAUGUUGGGUUAAGUCCCGCAACGAGCGCAACCCUUGUUCACUGUUGCCAGCACGUUAUGGUGGGGACUCAGUGGAGACCGCCGGGGUCAACUCGGAGGAAGGUGGGGAUGACGUCAAGUCAUCAUGCCCCUUAUGUCCAGGGCUUCACGCAUGCUACAAUGGCUGGUACAGAGAGUGGCGAGCCUGUGAGGGUGAGCGAAUCUCGGAAAGCCGGUCUCAGUUCGGAUUGGGGUCUGCAACUCGACCUCAUGAAGUCGGAGUCGCUAGUAAUCGCAGAUCAGCAACGCUGCGGUGAAUACGUUCCCGGGGCU